RNAcentral lists this ribosomal RNA (391 nucleotides) under uncultured ammonia-oxidizing bacterium. RNAcentral describes it as "bacterial SSU rRNA". It matches the Rfam family "Bacterial small subunit ribosomal RNA", at positions 521 to 912 of the family's 1533-position model. The record is from RNAcentral.
UAAUACGUAGGGUGCAAGCGUUAAUCGGAAUUACUGGGCGUAAAGCGUGCGCAGGCGGUUUUGUAAGUCAGAUGUGAAAUCCCCGGGCUUAACCUGGGAACUGCGUUUGAAACUACAAGGCUAGAGUGUGGCAGAGGGGGGUGGAAUUCCACGUGUAGCAGUGAAAUGCGUAGAGAUGUGGAGGAACACCGAUGGCGAAGGCAGCCCCCUGGGUUAACACUGACGCUCAGGCACGAAAGCGUGGGGAGCAAACAGGAUUAGAUACCCUGGUAGUCCACGCCCUAAACGAUGUCAACUAGUUGUCGGGUCUUAACGGACUUGGUAACGCAGCUAACGCGUGAAGUUGACCGCCUGGGGAGUACGGUCGCAAGAUUAAAACUCAAAGGAAUUG